UUACGGGAGGCAGCAGCUAAGAAUCUUCUGCAAUGGACGCAAGUCUGACAGAGCGACGCCGCGUGAACGAUGAAGGCCGCAAGGUUGUAAAGUUCUUUUCUUUGUGAGGAAUAAGGGGCAGAGGAAAUGCUGUCCUGAUGACGUAAGCGAAGGAAUAAGCCCCGGCUAAUUACGUGCCAGCAGCCGCGGUAAUACGUAUGGGGCGAGCGUUGUUCGGAUUUAUUGGGCGUAAAGGGCGUGUAGGCGGCUUGGCAAGCUUGGUGUGAAAUGUCACGGCUUAACCGUGAAUGUGCGCUGAGAACUGCCAGGCUGGAGUUUUGGGGGGGAAGCUGGAAUUCCUGGUGUAGGGGUGAAAUCUGUAGAUAUCAGGAAGAACACCGAUGGCGAAGGCAAGCUUCUAUCCAAAGACUGACGCUGAGGCGCGAAAGUGUGGGGAGCGAACAGGAUUAGAUACCCCGGU
Molecule: ribosomal RNA, 460 nt
Filed under: uncultured bacterium
Lineage: Bacteria
Description: bacterial SSU rRNA
Rfam family: Bacterial small subunit ribosomal RNA
Source: RNAcentral